GACCUGAUGGGGGGCUGUGAGGCGCGCGUUUCCGCGCUGGUCACCAAGACCGCGCUGAGCCAAUGGUGAGACCGACCCGUCGGCAA
Molecule: non-coding RNA, 86 nt
Submitted as: unclassified sequences
Source: Rfam